ACACAUGGGUGGCUGUGGCCU
Molecule: microRNA, 21 nt
Filed under: Homo sapiens (human)
Lineage: Eukaryota; Metazoa; Chordata; Mammalia; Primates; Hominidae
Description: hsa-miR-4717-3p
Source: miRBase by way of RNAcentral